Molecule: ribosomal RNA, 253 nt
Filed under: uncultured bacterium
Lineage: Bacteria
Description: partial 16S ribosomal RNA
Rfam family: Bacterial small subunit ribosomal RNA
Source: RNAcentral
UACAGAGGGGGCAAGCGUUGUUCGGAAUUACUGGGCGUAAAGGGCGCGUAGGCGGCCUUCUAAGUCAUGCGUGAAAUCCCCGGGCUCAACCCGGGAACUGCGUCUGAUACUGGAAGGCUUGAAUCCGGGAGAGGGAUGUGGAAUUCCAGGUGUAGCGGUGAAAUGCGUAGAUAUCAGGAGGAAUACCGAUGGCGAAGGCAGGUCUCUGGGCUGACACUGACGCUCAUGCACGAAAGCGUGGGGAGCAAACAGG